Molecule: transfer RNA, 89 nt
Filed under: Phyllosticta citricarpa
Lineage: Eukaryota; Fungi; Ascomycota; Dothideomycetes; Botryosphaeriales; Phyllostictaceae
Also listed under: 6 other names
Description: tRNA-Tyr
Rfam family: tRNA
About the family: Transfer RNA (tRNA) molecules are approximately 80 nucleotides in length. Their secondary structure includes four short double-helical elements and three loops (D, anti-codon, and T loops). Further hydrogen bonds mediate the characteristic L-shaped molecular structure. tRNAs have two regions of fundamental functional importance: the anti-codon, which is responsible for specific mRNA codon recognition, and the 3' end, to which the tRNAs corresponding amino acid is attached (by aminoacyl-tRNA synthetases). tRNAs cope with the degeneracy of the genetic code in two manners: having more than one tRNA (with a specific anti-codon) for a particular amino acid; and 'wobble' base-pairing, i.e. permitting non-standard base-pairing at the 3rd anti-codon position.
Source: RNAcentral
CUCCUCUUGGUGUAGUUGGUUUAUCACGUUCGACUGUAAUGGAAUUCAAUGCCAUCGAAAGGUCCCUAGUUCGAUUCUGGGAGGGGAGA